This 472-nucleotide ribosomal RNA is filed under the name uncultured bacterium. RNAcentral's name for it is "SSU rRNA". It matches the Rfam family "Bacterial small subunit ribosomal RNA", at positions 26 to 518 of the family's 1533-position model. The record is from RNAcentral.
AGAUUGAACGCUGGCGGCGUGCCUAACACAUGCAAGUCGAGCGGCAGCGCGGGAGCAAUCCUGGCGGCGAGCGGCGGACGGGUGAGUAACGCUUGGGAAUCUGCCUGUUAGUGGGGGACAACCCGGGGAAACUCGGGCUAAUACCGCAUACGCACCAUGGUGGAAAGCCGGGGACCGCAAGGCCUGGCGCUAACAGAUGAGCCCAAGUCGGAUUAGCUAGUUGGUGGGGUAACGGCCCACCAAGGCGACAAUCCGUAGCUGGUCUGAGAGGACGACCAGCCACACCGGAACUGAGACACGGUCCGGACUCCUACGGGAGGCAGCAGUGGGGAAUAUUGGACAAUGGGCGCAAGCCUGAUCCAGCAAUGUCGCGUGAGUGAUGAAGGCCUUAGGGUUGUAAAGCUCUUUCGCCCGCGACGAUGAUGACGGUAGCGGGAGAAGAACGCCCGGCUAACUUCGUGCCAGCAGCCGC